GAAUAUUGCACAAUGGAGGAAACUCUGAUGCAGCGACGCCGCGUGAGCGAUGAAGGCUUUCGAGUCGUAAAGCGCUGUCCUAGGGGACGAUACUGACGGUACCCUAGGCGGAAGCCCCGGCCAACUACGUCCACCCAGCCGCGGUAAUACGGAGGGGGCGAGCGUUGUCCGGAAUUAGUGGGCGUAAAGGGUUCGCAGGCGGCCUUUUAAGUCAGAUGUGAAAGCCCACGGCUUAACCGUGGUAAGCAUUUGAAACUGGAAGGCUUGAGUUAAGGAGAGGAAAGUGGAAUUCCUAGUGUAGCGGUGAAAUGCGUAGAUAUUAGGAGGAAUACCAGUGGCGAAGGCGACUUUCUGGACUUAUACUGACGCUGAGGAACGAAAGCGUGGGGAGCAAACAGG
Molecule: ribosomal RNA, 399 nt
Filed under: uncultured bacterium
Lineage: Bacteria
Description: partial 16S ribosomal RNA
Rfam family: Bacterial small subunit ribosomal RNA
Source: RNAcentral